GACGAACGCUGGCGGCGUGCUUAACACAUGCAAGUCGAGCGGUAAGGCCUUUCGGGUACACGAGCGGCGAACGGGUGAGUAACACGUGGGUGACCUGCCCUCCACUUCGGGAUAAGCCUGGGAAACCGGGUCUAAUACCGGAUAGGACCAUAUGAUGCAUGUCGUGUGGUGGAAAAGUUGUGUCGGUGGGGAAUGGGCCCGCGGUCUAUCAGCUGGUUGGUGGGGUGA
Molecule: ribosomal RNA, 228 nt
Filed under: uncultured bacterium
Lineage: Bacteria
Description: partial 16S ribosomal RNA
Rfam family: Bacterial small subunit ribosomal RNA
Source: RNAcentral